UACGUAGGUGACCAGCGUUGUCCGGAUUUACUGGGCGUAAAGAGCGCGCAGGCGGUCGUUCAAGUCGGGUGUGAAAGCCCCCGGCUCAACUGGGGAGGGUCAUUCGAUACUGAUCGACUGGAAGGCAGGAGAGGGAAGCGGAAUUCCCGGUGUAGUGGUGAAAUGCGUAGAUAUCGGGAGGAACACCAGUGGCGAAGGCGGCUUCCUGGCCUGUUCUUGACGCUGAGGCGCGAAAGCUAGGGGAGCAAACGGG
RNAcentral lists this ribosomal RNA (253 nucleotides) under uncultured bacterium. RNAcentral's name for it is "partial 16S ribosomal RNA". It matches the Rfam family "Bacterial small subunit ribosomal RNA", at positions 524 to 776 of the family's 1533-position model. The record is from RNAcentral.